Molecule: long non-coding RNA, 404 nt
Organism: Nilaparvata lugens (brown planthopper)
Lineage: Eukaryota; Metazoa; Arthropoda; Insecta; Hemiptera; Delphacidae
Exons: 4
Source: RefSeq, a predicted model, not a curated record
AAGGAGAAGGAGGAAAAGGAACAAGAAGCAUUAAUAAUUGCCACUGCGGAUACCCAACUAGUUUCGGAAAUUACUGCAAGUACUAUGGAUGCUGAGGAAAGCUUAGAUUUAUUGCUUCAGGAUGACUCAGUGAGGGAGCCCUCGUUCAACGAAGGCAAUUUUAUGAGUCACAAUUGUUGACUUCGGCCUCCACCCCUAUUUGUCCCGCUUCGGCUGUGAAGAGGCUGCUACAUCUUUCCAAUGAUAGCAGCGAAGAUAACAGAACCCCUCCGAAAAAGCUUCGCACCGAAAUGAUUCCGAAAUUGGCGGUGGUCGACGCAAACCAAGAUAGUGACGGGGGAUCUGACUCGUGGAAGAGUCACGACGAAAAUCGGCUCAUGAAUCAUCCAUCUGACGCCCACCAA